This 700-nucleotide long non-coding RNA is filed under the name Mustela putorius furo (domestic ferret). RNAcentral describes it as "lncRNA (ENSMPUG00000025994.1)". The record is from RNAcentral. Lineage: Eukaryota; Metazoa; Chordata; Mammalia; Carnivora; Mustelidae.
CAGCUGAUAGAGGGUUUGGUGGUAGAUGACAGCUUGUUUAUCCAGGGAGGCUGCAAAAUAUUCUGUUGCGCGAACACACAGCAAAGCUCAUUUGUCUUGUCUUUUGUCUCCACAGCUACAUAGUUCAGGAGGGACACUCUCCUCCUGCUUUACCAACUGCUCCCUCUUCUGAGCAUGCUCACAGACCUUCCAGCCACCCUGGGCCCUCCCUUUCACCAUGUGGCCUCCAUGAAGGGGAGUGUCCUGAAGCCCAGAGAGGAAGACGGAUUCACACAAGGCCACCCAGCAAGUCUGGUUACUUCAUCCCAAGCAGAACAUCUCCCCUCUUAGCCAUGAUCAGAAAGAGACUUGGCAUCAGCAUGGACCCUUCCAUAAAGAUUCUGGCUCUUUCUGCUGCUGAAAUCGGAAAGAUGAAUGAGUGGUACCGUGGAGCCAGAAAAAUAUGAGAUAAAGUGAUGGCACCGUCCUCUCAUUUUCUCUUUCUACUAGAAGAAGACCGCAUUCUAGGAGUGCCUGGGUGGCUUAGUCAGUUAAGUGUCUGCCUUUGGCUCAGGUCAUGAUCCCAGGGUCCUGGGAUCAAGCCCAGUGUUGGGCUCCCUACUCUGUGGGGAGUCUGCUCUCCCUCUCUGUCUGCCCCUCCCCCAGAUCCUGCUUGCUCGCUCUCAAAUAAAAUCUUAAAAAAUUAAAAAUAGCAUUCUCA